CCAUACCACCCUGAACGCGCCUGAUCUCGGCUGAUCUCAGAAGCUAAGCAUGGUCGGGCCUGGUUAGUACUUGGAAGGGAGAAAACCCAGUG
This 92-nucleotide ribosomal RNA is filed under the name Castor canadensis (American beaver). Lineage: Eukaryota; Metazoa; Chordata; Mammalia; Rodentia; Castoridae. The record is from RNAcentral.